Molecule: unclassified non-coding RNA, 148 nt
Filed under: soil metagenome
Description: partial internal transcribed spacer 1
Source: RNAcentral
CAUAAUAAAAGUGUUUUAUGGCACUUUUCAAACAAAUCCAUAUCCACCUUGUGUGCAAUGUUUUUUUUUUUUUAAAUAAACACUUUAUUUUUUAAUUGCCAAUUUAUCUGAAGAUCAGUAUUAUUAUGAAUUAACUUAAUUCAAAAUA